RNAcentral lists this long non-coding RNA (1901 nucleotides) under Sus scrofa (pig). RNAcentral describes it as "lncRNA (ENSSSCG00025064151.1)". Lineage: Eukaryota; Metazoa; Chordata; Mammalia; Artiodactyla; Suidae. The record is from RNAcentral.
CCACCCACAUCCCUGCUCUUCUCUAAGCCGCUGAACUUCUCCAGCCCUCACCGGCCGUGUCUUCAUCUCCGCGAAAGGACCUGCCCCUUCAGUGUGUUCCUAGGAGGAUUCUGCUCUUACAGUGACCAUCUCCCCAGCGUCCCCAGCAGGAGUGACAGUGACCCUGCUAUCCAGAGGGAGGAGGGCUGCACCUGUGGCAUAGAGACGUCCCCAGGCUGGGGGUCAACUCGGAGCUGCGGCUGCAGCUGCAAUCAACGCCAACCAGCCUCGGCUCCCUCUCGGACCUGACAGAACCGCUUAAGUCCAUCAGGGCCCAGGGCAGGGCUGGCCGCCGCGCCUUUCCACUGGCCCUGGGGCGUCGCGGGGGGACACAAGGCUGUGUCUGUCAACACCUGGAAGCGUCCAGGCUGCAGCGGGAAGCGGAUGAAAGGCUGGGAGUUGGGGACGUGGGGAGCUGGGCUUGAGCUCCAGCCUCAGGUCGCAGCCCUAGGGGCAGAGGCCCGUCACACUCAGAGAUCCCGCACGUCCGCUGUCCUCCUGGCCCAGCCGGAGGUAGGGGGACUUGGCAGACGACGGGGCUGUGGCCUGGGCGGGGACAUAUGCCCUGUGGCCAACCCACCCCACCCCCUCUCCCUCUGGCUGUCCCUGCACCUCCCUCUGGCACAGAAAUUCCCUGCCAAGCCCAACCUACCUCUAGCACACACACCCCUCCCCCCCUCCCCCGGCAAAGAGAUGUGACAUCAGCUGGUUCUUCCCCCACCUCGUGACCAUCACCUGCUGUGUCCAGGCGGAGGAGGUGCCUCUAACUGCCAUUGUGCCGCGGGGACCGUCACCCCGGGAGCGCCUGAGUUGCUGCUCUGCUUCCUCCACCUAGUGCUGGGCCAUCACCUGUGAGGAAGUUUCUGGUUACUUUGUGGGUACAAUCAUUCGGCCCCGGAGCACACCGAGCUCUCUUCUGUGUCGGAUUUCAGUAAAUGAUGUGCUGGCGUCUUCUCUCUAAGUGGUUCGGGCUGGCAGCAAGGGAGCCAGAUCCCCGGAGAUGGAGUUUCACUAGAAAGAUCCUGGGGUCUCGGAUCUGGACUAUUUCUGCUCAGAAAAGUUCCUUGCUAGUAGAAAACCAGAAAGGGCCAUUACUUUGUAUGUCAUGCUUGAGGGGACACUGGACAGAGGACGAAUUGCCGAAAAGCCACCUGCCUUUGCUAACAGCCCCAAGCAGUGGUGGAGGGUGACAGCCAGAUGACGCUGAGCAGGGACCUGUGCUGUUUGCCGGGCUUAAAGGCGGACGUCUCCAUCGACCUCCACGUCCAUGCCUACCUGCUCAGGGGCCGUCUAGGAAGGUCUUACCCACACAGCCCUUGAGACUGAAGCCGUUUCGUCCUGAUUUCGAGCAUUGUGUGGGGUCCCCUGGAUCUUAGAGGUUAAAACCAGGUAUGAUCAGAACUCCCAAACCAGCCACUUACUAGGCAAAAAGAAACCUCGGUAAAUUCCAACAGUAAGGUUUUUCUCUUCUAUAGUUUUACCACCACACUUUUAACAGAUAAAAUCAUCACGACUAACAGGCAGCUAUGAAAUGAGCACAUCAGGGGUUUUACUUACAUCAUUAGCCAAGGGAGGAGCCAGCAAGUUGUUCAAAAUGCAGUCUCUCUCUAACACACAGGCAAUUAGAAACGUCGACAGGAGGAGCUCCCGUCGUGGCUCGGCGAUAACGCACCCGAAUCAUAUCCACGAGGACUCGGGUUCCUGGCCUUUCUCAGUGGGUCACGGACCUGGUGUCGCUGUGAGCUGUGGUGCAGGCCUGCAGCUGUGACUCUGACUCAACCAUUCGACUCCUAGCCAGGGAACUUCUGUAUGCCAUGUGAGCGGCCCUAAAAAGACCAAAAAAAAAGAAAGGAAAAAAAAAA